This 1053-nucleotide long non-coding RNA is filed under the name Bos grunniens (domestic yak). RNAcentral describes it as "lncRNA (ENSBGRG00000026246.1)". The record is from RNAcentral. Lineage: Eukaryota; Metazoa; Chordata; Mammalia; Artiodactyla; Bovidae.
UUAUGAACGAAAGUGCCACUGUGGGAGUUGUGGGGUCCAGCGCCGAAUGCCAAAGGACUCAGGAGGAGUCUCUCCCACCUGGGCAUUGCUUAAUAGGCAGACAAACUUCACAUGGGCUUUGGAACCAGUACGAGCCCAUGAACUGGUUCCAGCUGUCUUCUGCCACAGCUGGGAAAACUUGCAGGAUGCUGAAAAGGGAAGACAUCCACAGAAGAGAGAGCCUCUGUAGAAGUUCCGGUUGAAGAGAGAUUCCAGCGCUCCCUUGGAUCAAAAAAAAGUUCGGACGCCUCAGAGAGUGCAUGCUCUUUACCAGCUGAACCACCAGGGAAGAAGUUUCAAAUAGCUAUGCACAAUUGAAGAUAUCAGUAAUUGAGAUGGAAAAAGCAUAUCAAAAGAUGUUGAAAGAGUUAUGUUCACUGUGAACAUGGCUUAUUUCUACUCCUUGUCGGGUAUUUCAAAUAUUGGUGACCGUCAAGGUGCUGUAUCAGUAAGGGUUCAGCCAGGAAGGAAGAACCAUGUGGGACAUGGAAUUCUUAUAGGAACUAUAUACAGAGGUCAACAAAUAUUUCCUGUAAAAAAAAAAAAAAAACAGAUUGUAAGUGUUUUUGGCUUUGUGGGUCAAAAGUUCUCUGUAAUAAACUAUCCAACUCUGUUGUACAGUACAAAACAGCUGUAGGCAAUUUUUAAACAAAUAAGCAGAGUUAUUUUGUAAUAGAACUUCAUUAAAACACACACAGGCAGUGGAGCUGUAGUUAGUUUGCCCUUCUCUGCCAUCUCCUGUUGAUUUCUUCUAGUGUAUUUUUCACUUCAAUGAUUGUAUUCUUGACAAACCUAGAUAGUGUAUCAAAAAGUAGAGACAUCACCUUGCUGACAAAGGUCUGUAUAAUCAAAGCUAUGGUUUUUCCAGUAGUCAAGUAUGGAUGUGAAAGUUGGACCAUAAAGAAGGCUGAGCACUGAAGAAUUGAUGCUUUUGAAUUGGGAUCCUUGAGAAGACUCUUGAGAGUCCUUGGACAGCAAGGAGCUCAAACCAGUCAAUCCCAAAGGAAAUCAACC